Equus caballus (horse) is the source of this 7116-nucleotide non-coding RNA. The record is from RefSeq and is a predicted model, not a curated record. Lineage: Eukaryota; Metazoa; Chordata; Mammalia; Perissodactyla; Equidae.
AAUACAGGUAGCACAGCUUUCAGCAUCACAGCAACAGGCAGACACCACAGUCUGACAACCAACAGACAGGUGGUGUCAUUCCCUGACCGGGAAAGGAACCUGGGCUCUGGCGAGAGUGCUGAACCUUAACCACUAGGCCACCAAGGCUGGCUCCCAGUCACUCAGACUCUGAUAGUAUGCCAGCAGGUCGGGCUCUGGUUAACUAGUUUCCCCUGAGGACAGAUCUGGUAAGGACAGGUGCUGUGGUGUAUUUCAAAAUGCUUCCUUUUCCUCUCCCCCUGCUGGAAGCUCCGGGAGGUAAAUCGCACAAUAUUGUGACCCCUCCAUGGCUGGGUCCCCCUGGAGUUUUCAACUUUCAGAGUUGUCCACACUGAGCCUCCAGUAAUUAGUCAACUGUAAAGAGUCAUUAAUAAGAGGAGGUGAAGUCAUCGGGCCAGGAGGAAGGGCAGGGCCUGGGAGCCAGGUGGGUGGGCAGCAAGUCGUGCUCUGCUGCUGUCCACGGGCAAGGCAGGCCGUCUACGCAGCCCAGCGGCUCGUCUGCGCCAUGGUGAUAACCACACAGGCUCUCCAGUGGCUGCGAGGGCGGGCGAGGGGGAGUCGUGCAAGGCUGCUGCUGAGCUCCGCCUGCCUAGGAUGGAAUCCAGGGUCUCGGGCUGGGGCUCUGGCUGGCAUGAGAGGAGACCAGCGCUCACCAACAUGUGCCACUGGCUAAGAUUUUGCACACUCACAUUCGUUAUGGAAGAAUGUACAAAAAUUAAAAUUUAUAACAACUAAGGGCAGGAGCCAGCAUUCCCUCAGAAGUUCAGAUUGCAUAAUGAUCUUAAGAAAACUCUCGGCAAAGAUGGGGGGAGGGGGUGGGAGAGAGGAGGGCAGAGGGAGGAAACUCGAAUCAGCGCUGGACGUGGAAGGAGAGCUAGGUGGUGAUUGCUGGGGCCCGUCAGUGGUGUUCUUAGAAUUUGUUCUGUUUGGACCUUCUGUCCAUUUCAGUUAUUAUUUGCUGCCUCCAUGCAUACACCAAGUUCUUAUCUUGGAGCUACUGAGCGCAUAAUUUGUAAAGGGCGUUCGGAGUGGACACAGGCCUGGGAGCGCAGACGUUUGGGUCAUCUGUGCAGUCAUGGAUUCAUGUCCCAGUCACUUGCUGAGCACCUCUCUGCGCCAGACCCCCAGUGGGGGCAGUUGGGGUCGUGGAGUCCCUUGGGAGGUCUGAACUCCUGGAAAGGGAUGGACUCAGGAAUCUGUCAGGGUUUCAAAAUGUCCCCAGGGCCACGGCAGGUGGUUUUCUAGUGUUCAGGGAGGGCCCAGGGAGGCGGGAGUGCAUCAACCCGGCCUUAACUGUCAAGCAGGUGGCUGCCAGGCCGACAGUGUGUGUGCAUGUGUGUGCGCGUGUGCGUGUGUGUGGUGGGGGGAGGGCACCCAGAGAGCCCAGGGGCCUGAAGCGGGCACUUGUGAGAGUGAAGCUGCAGAAUCAGGGCGGCCCGGGCAGCAGGAUGGCCCUGAGAGAGGGCUCCAGGGAACGGCCUGAGCUGGUGGGGAAGGCAGGGCAGAGGUCAGCAGCAGGCCCAGCGUGGGUCAGGCAUGACCACAGAAAAGGGAGAGACGAUGUGCGUCGGUGCGCUGAGGUUGGCCCACAGGCCGGCUGAAGAGCUGUGGGAUGGUGGGCAGGUUCUGAGCGUCCGCCGCACGCAGUGCUGCCGUGUGCAAAGUUAGAGCGGUGAUGUCCCAGGCCCAGCUCCCAAGGUGGGUGGGCGGCGGAACUCCCCGCCUGGCCCCAGGCAGCAGACCACAUGCACCCUAACGGCCCCCUCGGUUGGCCUCUGCUGGCUCUGGGGUUGGACAGCCUGUGCCCACAGCCUGGCUGUGUCCUCAGUCAGUGUGUCCUCAGACAAUGUCCCCAGGAGCCUCCAGUGUUUCAUUUGGAAACAGGUAAGAAAGUGCCUCUGAGAGCAAGCUGCAGAGAGGUGACCCAAGCAGGGCGGGACACGGCUCGGCACAUAGGUACUGACGUCAUCGUUGUUGUUACGUUAUCAAAAGCAAAAACAGCAGCUGUCUGCCAGGAGACUCAGGAGAUUACCAGCUGCCGCAGGCCAGGUUUACUUUGAUAACUUCUGUUAACAACAGCACAGAUACCGCUAUCAUCGCUGGGCACGGGCCAAGCCCUUCUUCUCUCCUUUAUCGAACGAUUCCUGUGAAGUAGCUGUUAUUACUCCCACUUACAGGCGAGAAAACCGAGGCUCUGAGGUAUUUUGUACCUCCUCGUAGCCAAUAAGUGUUGGAGACGAGAUCAAACUCGGCUCUGACUGCACAGCAGUGGCUCUGCGGUCCCUGCUCUGCCUCCAGCCGCUGGGGAGGGAGGACCCGUCAGGAACUCCUGGGGCAGGGGUCCUCAUGGGGGCCGGGGAACCUGACAGGAAACGGGCAAAGGGCAAAACAGGUGGUUCCCAGGAAAAGAAAUACAAUGUCGUACGGAGGUAGGAAACCCUGUGCAGCCUCACAGCCAAAAGUGACAAUGUGUUUCACUCAUCAGAUUGGCCAAGAUAAGAACUACACCGUGUGAGAGAGGAUGUGGGGAAACAGCCACUUUCAUUGGCUACUGGUGAAGUUAGAAAUUCAUGUGACUUUUUGGAGGACAAUUUUCAGUAUCUACUAACAUUUUAAGUGUACUCACUCUCUGCCCCCAGAAAUUAAAUUCUAGGGGGCAAUUUAUCCUAAAGGUAUGCAAAUAUACACAUGUAAAACCCUACUUACAAAGGUUGUCAUGGUGGCACUGUAUCUGGUUAAAAAAAAAAUCAAAUAAAGACUACACAACCUAAAUGUCCAUUUGUGGAGGAAUUGAUUAAAUAAAAUAACCAAUUCAUUCAUAUAUUAACACAGUUCAUGCUAUGCAGUCCCAAGAAGCAUGAGUCAGUCUAUACAUGGUGUUAAGGUAUAAUUAACUAUUAUUAACUCUUCGUUCAUUGUUCAGAUUCCUUUGCUUGGUUCUUGGCAUGUUGGGCCUGUUGUGCUGGCUCAAUCUCUGGAGGGUGUUUGGCUGGGGCCUCAGAAGGGCUUUGGUAUAUCUAUCUGCCACCCAAAGAGGCACACUGACUUGGCUUGCCAACUCCCGCCGCUGCUGAGGGUCCUCUUCCUGCUCACUGUAGUGGGCUCAUGUGCUCCCACUGCAGAUGCAGAAUCCCCCCGCCCCACACUCCUCUGUUUCCCAAGGCACACUGCAAGUCCCCAGAAAUAAGUGCCCACCCAUGGGCACCCUUGGAAAGGUCCAGCCGCUGACUGUGCCAAUGCCGCGUGACUCCUGACACCACUGAUAUCUGGAGGGGUUGAGCAAUGGCUGAGAUAAAAUUUCAUUGGCAUUUAAUGCAAUCCCUUCUGUUUCUGCUAGAGGUGGCGAAUUCUAUAGAAAGCUGCCAGACCUGGCCAGCUCACUGAGCGUUGACCCCUUCCAUCCAAGGGCAAGGCAAUGGAUGUCUGCAGAUGACUCAUUCGCAAUAACUGUGGCAUUCGGGCUACGGGACUUGGCUGAGCCCAGCUGGGUAGGGCAGGCCUGGCAGGGCGGGCGGGAGCAGCGAGUCCUCUCCAUUCUAACCUCUGGCUCAGAGGAGCAGUGAUGUAAACUGAGACAGGAUAUAGACACAUCCUGCCUGAGUUAGCAGCAAGGAAUAGGGCCCCACGGUUCUCCCACAGCAGAGAUCCUGCCAUAAAUCAAGUCCUAGGGGGAAUGUGGAAUGGUAUGCGCGUUCGGGCUGCGUCCCAUCAGUUCCGGAGGGGAAGUGCCCAUAGUCAUUGGUCAAGGUUUGAAACUUGAAUCCUAGAGAACCACUGGGUGGGGGUGUUGGGAGGCAGGGACAAGGCUGGGGGCCAGCAAGCCCGUCCUCUCCAAACAGGGGAAUGGUUGCAGGCCUGCACUUCCUCAGUGCCUGAAGUGGAAGGAUUACAGCAGCUUCGGCCCCUCGACUCUGGCACGAUACACACACACACACGCAGGAGCUCACUAGUGUCUGAUUCACACACGCUCACUUACAGACACACACAUAUAAACACUGAUGCCCACAAGCCCAAGGAUCCACAGUCUCACGUGAAAUGAAAAUAAAGACGCCUGACAUUUAUCGAGCGCUUAGUAUGAGUCAGUUUCUGUGCUGAGCCGUUUAUACGCACUUGAUUUCACAACCCAAAGAGCAAUAUCUUAUCAUUCCCGUUUUGUGGAUGAUGAAACCGGAGCUAAAAGGAGCUGGCUCACCUCAGGUCCUUGGCUAAUAACUGGCACACUUGAUCCCAAUGCAGGCAGCGAGUCCCUCACUCCCAGGACUCCAGGCUGUGCACACCCAGACGGAGGUGAGCACCCUCACGUGCACACAUGUGGCUGUGUACACACAGAGGCACAUCGUGCACAAAUACAGCCCUCGCCACACUUAUUCCUGCUCAAGUUCACUGAGUAAAGCCCCACAGCCACCUGGAUUUUAAAGACGUAUAAACCACUGGGUGUCUCCGAUACCCAGAUCAUUAUCAUAUUAAUUACUUAACAGGAUUACAUGAUAGGCUAAGAAUGUCUCCUCUCUGACAGUUUCUAAUGAUCAGACCUAGCCAGAGUGCGGCUAAGAAGGAUAAACAUUCCUUUCUGUUAAAAGAAAAUUUUAGUUUUUCAUUGCAAAAGCCCAAUGGCAGAGGAAGUCGGGGGAGGCCCAGCAAUGUUUCCGAAAAUCUCACAAAGAAUCUCAGGGUAUACGAUUUCCUGUCAGCAAGAAAACGUGCUGUUGUAAAAAGAAAAAAAACGGGCCGUGAGCAGCUACAAACCCCAAAAGGUCAGGAGAGCAGAUGCCUCCAACGUCUGUGUGUCUCUCGGCCGGCCGGGACGAGGCCAGCCAGCGGGGCCGGGAGAGUCCCCGAGUUUGCUCAGCGUCGCCUCCAAGUUCCCUGCCUGCCGGCCAGCCGGGAAACAACUGGUGGCGAUGUGCUCGCCAGCCUGCUUCCAGCUCGGCCUCUCCCUCCCAGCAGCCCUCGGUGCCUGCUGCGGCCCCCUCCCCACCUGCUCCUGCUCCGGUCACUCUGCUGCAGUCCCGGACACCAUUUUCCAGCUGUCUGCACAUGUGAGCCCUUAGGAGUACCACCCGCGCUGAACAGACUUGAGGCUGCCCCCUGGAGGUGUGCGGUGCAGGCGCCUGCUCAGUUCUCCGUGGGAGGGACCCACUUCAGGAGUGAUGGUUAGGGCUGCCUGUUUGACACAGUGGGACGCUGUUCAUAAUUCUCUUUAGUUAGGUAACGAAGAAGUCCACAUUGCCUGUAGAUCCUUAGUCAAACCUCCGUGCCCAACAUGCACGUGUUGCCUUGAAGUGAACUGUUCACAGAAGGCCUUUGGCCAGGUGUGGAGACUUUCGAGUCUCAGUUUCCUCAGCUAGAAAAUGGAGACAAGAAUGCUUACAUUCCCGAGUUCCACUGAGGCAAUGUCUGUAAAAUAACAGUGGGACCGAAAAGGCCUUACUAGAAGCUGGCAAUGAUACCGUAACAUUUGGUGUUGCAAUACCAUAGGCAGGUAAUAGCCCCUGUGUUCAGAGUUCGUGAAUAAAACAACUUCCGUGAUGUGAAAUGCAGCUGGAGAGCUGGAAGGAAGCCGAGGGACCUGCCAGGUAACCAAGAACGGGUCCCCAGGUCACUGUGCCUCACUUCAGGGAGGCUGCCUGGAGGCUCACUUCCAGCUGACUGGCCUUAGACAUCAUCAUAAGAGCCUUGCUUAUUUAGUUUCUCAGGGUAGGACAGAAUAAGAGCUUCAAAACGUGACAAGAACUCCUUACAGAAAGAAAGCCAAAAAACCAGCUAACUGAACAACUAAACGACGAAGGUGGAAAGCCCAACACACUGCAGAGGUCAGAAACGAGAACAAGGUAGCACUCGUCACACACCUAGAGCAUCUGGGCUCCAGCCGUCAGCAGCAGGGGGCCCGCCGUGGGCUAUCAGGAGCCGACGGUUUGGGACUCCAUCUGGGUUUGAGUCCUUACUGCCUUCUAGCUGGAAAAGGAAACUGAGGACCAGAGAGGUGAAGUAACUGCUCGUGCUCACACAGCUCCUCAGUGACAGCUGGAAUCUGAACCAGGUCUGUCCAACCCUGACGCUCUGCUGUGGAGGAAGUGCUCCCAGCUCACUCUCCUUGGCACCCCUCCUGCCCACCCGGUGUCCCUGGGGGACCCCCUGGUAUUACUGCUCAGCUUGAUGGGGCUUUUCAUGCUGGAGGCCCUGAGACACAAGGACAGCAAGCAGGGAGCUGCUGAAGGAGUUUCCCAUGGUUCCUAUCAGAACAUUUGGAAAUGGAAACCUAGCAAUUACAGAGAAAAUUAUUAACUUUCAGGGAGCCUUGUUUGGGUCAUAGCCCUUUCCUUUGGGCGUAAGUUGUUGGUGUGAAACUGAACUGAAAACUUGCAUCUCCAGCUGCCCCAGCUGAGCCCUUAGACCUUUGUUGUGGCUUUUAUUCUCUUGGGCAAGAGGAGGGAGGAAUUCGGGGUAUGUGGCCCCAUGACUGAGAAGGAGGAGCAGGAAUGGUACUUACAUUUGUCAAACUUUUCCUAUGUGUUUUCCAUAUUUUGUCUCGUUUAAUCCUCAGAACAAUCUCAUGAGCAAGGAAAGAAUGGCAUUUGGAACGUGGCAGACGUGGCUUCUCAUUCCUAGUUCACCACUCGCCACUGUGCUAAGUGACUUUGCCUCCAAAUUUUCUCCUGUGCAGCAUGGGGUUACUGCUGCCUCCAUCCGAGGUGCUCUGAAGGGGUCGGUGCAGGGACCCCUGGGGGCUUGCACGUUCAUCAAAUGAUAAAGACAUGUGGAAAAAAUUGAAAAUAUCAUGUGAAAUACGCACACACACAGACAUAAGUGUGUCAUGACCACAGCUGGAUAUAACUGUGUCCACCUACAGAUGGGAGCGAUCUUGCCAAGGCCACAGGGACAUGCUGACUAUUUAUCUAUUUCUCUCAUUUAUAUACUCCUUCAAGUGUAUGGCUCGAGACAACAGACUUAGGAUACUUUGUACUUUCUGCCUUUCGACAGCCCAUUACAAUUAUAUUAAAAGAAAAAUAAAAGAAAUAAGCUCACAAAGUGAAGAGGCUCUGUGGGGAUCCUUCAGCAUGUGUGCGAUUUCAAGAA